GCCGAAAUAGCUCAGCUGGUAGAGCACUUCACUCGUAAUGAAGGGGUCGAGGGUUCGAGUCCCUUUUUCGGCU
This 73-nucleotide transfer RNA is filed under the name Candidatus Blautia gallistercoris. Its description in RNAcentral is "tRNA-Thr". It matches the Rfam family "tRNA". Rfam says of the family: Transfer RNA (tRNA) molecules are approximately 80 nucleotides in length. Lineage: Bacteria; Bacillati; Bacillota; Clostridia; Lachnospirales; Lachnospiraceae. The record is from RNAcentral.